RNAcentral lists this ribosomal RNA (88 nucleotides) under Sinocyclocheilus grahami. Lineage: Eukaryota; Metazoa; Chordata; Actinopteri; Cypriniformes; Cyprinidae. The record is from RNAcentral.
GCCAGCAGCCAUAUCAGCCUGUAGCCCAAGACUGGUCGCCCACUGAAGCUAAGCGGGGUUGAGCCUGAAAACUAGGCUGCUGCUGGAA